AUCUUGAGUCGCCAUUUAAAGAUUAUUAAAGACAUCUAGAGGUACAGUAGAACAGAAAAGAGUCUGGAUGAACGUCGUUCUCGAUUCCUGAGAGAUGGUGGGACGAGGCGAGCAGUGCUGGAGGAUUUGAAGGAACGCAACAGUGCGUAGUGUGAUUAGAGCAGAGAGUUGUAGUUUGGUCGCUGCACAUGUAGGUCAAGAAGACACAACGUUCUCCAGCAGUGUUUUCCCUCACAAUGCUUUCUCCACUUUAUCUGGUCUUUUUGUUCAUGAUCUCAGGAGCUCUUGGGAAUGAAUGGAGUGUGACAUACAGGCCAGAACAUCUCUGUGCCUUAAAAGGAUCUACAGUGUUUUUAAAUGGCUCAUACACACACCCAGCAGAUUUUACAGUGACUAAGGCAUUUUGGGUAAUAGACCCAGUUAAGGGUAAAGAUCCGACUGAUCUGAGUACUGUAUCAGGUUACUCAGACAGAGUGGAGUAUUUAAGAGAUAAACAGAAACACUUCUCCCUCAGACUGAGUGAUGUGAAGAAAACAGAUGAACAUCAAUACUGCAUUAGAGUCCUAGGACAGAAAAGUAAAGAUACAUACCUCUUUUCUUCAGGAGUGAGACUCA
Long non-coding RNA from Clarias gariepinus (North African catfish), 615 nucleotides. RefSeq lists it as uncharacterized. The record is from RefSeq and is a predicted model, not a curated record. The transcript is spliced from 4 exons. Lineage: Eukaryota; Metazoa; Chordata; Actinopteri; Siluriformes; Clariidae.